Molecule: long non-coding RNA, 433 nt
Filed under: Trifolium pratense (red clover)
Lineage: Eukaryota; Viridiplantae; Streptophyta; Magnoliopsida; Fabales; Fabaceae
Description: long non-coding RNA (TPRA_LNC001419)
Source: RNAcentral
UUUGAAUCGGCUAAAUUUUAUUAAUAGACAAAUCUCCUAAACAAGAAGUAUAAGACAUUGUCGGAUCAAACAAAGAAAGGUAAGGUAAUGAAAACACUUUAACCAAUCAAAAAGAACAAUAAAUCACCACAUCAAUCCACCCUUAACAAAACCUAAACAACACCAUGUAGAAUUCUAAAAUGACUCCUUGACGUCCUACUGCAACCCCAACCUAAAACCAUAGCAAAACACUGAAGUGAAGCAGAAUAGAAGUAUCUCCUGCCGAAAACACCAUUGUCGAACCAGACCCUUCCAAACAAAGAAAAAAGCCGUCAACUAAACACCCUUCACACAGAUCUGAGCAAACUGCAACCUACCAAAGCAUGUAGCAUGGUGGAGACCGCCGGAAGCCUCUGGUAUAAGCAAAAAGUCUACAUUUGCGAUCUGAUUGCGU